AUGCUGAUGACAAAGAAAUGCAGUGCUAAAGAAACAUUUGUGAUAAAUGCUAGUGCUAUAUUUUUACUGUCAAGUCUGAAAUUUUGGUCUUUACUGUCAAGUCUGAAGUUAGUGGUAACUACUGAAGUUGGUGUUCAUGUCAAGUUAGUGGUAACUACUGAAGUUGGUGUUCAUGUCAAGUUAGUGGUAACUACUGAAGUUUGUAGUUACAGUUGCUUGUCUUCCACACAAGAAGCUGGUGUUUCUGUCAGAUCUUUGAAGGUCUGGUUUUCUAGUUACAGUAAGUUAGUGUUCAUGUCCGUCAUUGGUUACACUAAGUUAGUGGUUAACUAG
Molecule: ribosomal RNA, 333 nt
Filed under: Triticum aestivum (bread wheat)
Lineage: Eukaryota; Viridiplantae; Streptophyta; Magnoliopsida; Poales; Poaceae
Description: partial small subunit ribosomal RNA
Source: RNAcentral